AAUUCACUAUUUUAGCGAUGUCGAAGGGGUUUGUGUCCUACCAUAUUUAAAAGUGUUACUGCCAUAGAUCUAAGUGCCGUUUAACAUGCCGCGUGUUUUAGUUAUGUGAACAAAUAUCUGCUGCAGUGUAGCUCAGAGAGACGUUAAAAUUAUAUUGUAAUCAAAAUGACUCGUAAAUACAGGCGGAAAUCUGGCGUGAUUCCACGCCACAUAACAUGGACAGAAGAAUGUUUGGAAAGGGUAUUCUAAGAAAUUGAUAAAAAGGAAAAGAUCAAUAACUAUGUCAAUAUUACCAGCAGUCAAACUGAAUCUGGUUUAAAAACAACUAUAGGAAAAGCCACCAAAGGAAUAUCAAUAAAACAGAAGAGAGACGAAAAUUCGAUAAAAGACUCUGAAAAGAUAUUAAAAGUGUAAAACGCUAAUUCUGAAAUGGAAAAUACGAAUAAAAAAUCAUUAGUUUAUGAUUACUGUGUAGAAUGAUUUGAAAAUUACAAUUUUACCAAAUUAAAAUCGGAUUGGAUCCAACGUGUGAUGUGUCAAAUGUGGUUGCUUGAAACUUGUACAACAUUCAAAAAACAAUGCCUAAGAUGUGGAAAGCUAAGUACCCUGGCUUCUGGUGACU
Molecule: long non-coding RNA, 622 nt
Organism: Aethina tumida (small hive beetle)
Lineage: Eukaryota; Metazoa; Arthropoda; Insecta; Coleoptera; Nitidulidae
Exons: 3
Source: RefSeq, a predicted model, not a curated record